This is a non-coding RNA of Coffea arabica (coffee), 1009 nucleotides long. The record is from RefSeq and is a predicted model, not a curated record. Lineage: Eukaryota; Viridiplantae; Streptophyta; Magnoliopsida; Gentianales; Rubiaceae.
GGUCCAGUGGUCACUGCCCAGCCUUCUAAGACUUGGUGGUGUUGGGAGUAGGGGUGAGCAUUCGGUGCAAAUGCGGUAAAUCGGUGCGCUGAAUUCGGUUUUUUCGGUUAUUGCACCUAUAGAAAUCUAAACCGUUUUCAAUUUCAAAUUGGGCAUUACCGAAUUCAUGCCGUACCCGAUUUCAAAUUCGAAAACGGUAAUGAAUUCGGUCUAACCGAAUUCAUCUAUUAUGUAAAAAAAAACCCUGAAGCAAAUUAAGAGAAUAUAUAAAACCAAUCUUUAUAGUUCAGCAACUACCAACCCCCGCAAGCCAUGAGAAAGCUACAAAUAUUAGACUGAAAAUAUGUAAAGAAGCUAGACAUAUGUAGGCCUUCUACUGGUUUGUAGUUAUAAAAGCUAAAUUGCUCUCUUCGAUAUGUUCUAGACUUGCUCCAAUGCUUUCCAUUACUUAUUCAGGAGCUGAUUACUUUUAUUGAGCUUAUUAAGAAUCCUAGGUACAACUUCUGGAGCCGUACUUUCACUAGAUGUGCACCACAGAUUGAGAAUCUCCACGGACAAAGAGGUAAAAUUUUCAUUUUAGCAAGUUUUUUCCUUUUUAAUUUUUCUAACGGGUAAAAGGUGGAAUUUUUCCCCAAGGCCUUAACCUUUAAAGCCUGCACAACUGGAGAGAGCUUUCUUGUGUAUAAAAUACAAAGCUUAUGUUAUAUCACACCUAAUCUAAACUACUACAACAGUUAGAGUUUGCAAUUCGAAGCUCAGAUUUCGUCCCCUUAUCAAUUCAGGAUAACAAAUUUCCUAGUCGAUCUUGGCCCAUUUUAAUGCCAGAUACACAGAGCCAAAAACAGAGGAGCACUUACCUAAGCGAGCCAGAGAUGAGCAGUGAUGAACCAGCGAUGAACCAGUGAGAUCUUGGUGCUUCGUCUUCGACACUCGGCAGCGAUGAACCAGCACAGCAGGACACAGCCGACAGGAGACGUAGAGCGCGGCGGACUGGCGGAGGCCGGAGAGG